This 409-nucleotide ribosomal RNA is filed under the name bacterium enrichment culture clone ALO1_GLFRUDD03GHFKW. RNAcentral describes it as "bacterial SSU rRNA". It matches the Rfam family "Bacterial small subunit ribosomal RNA", at positions 9 to 418 of the family's 1533-position model. The record is from RNAcentral.
GAGUUUGAUCGUGGCUCAGAUUGAACGCUGGCGGCAUGCCUUACACAUGCAAGUCGAACGGCAGCACGGGAGCUUGCUCCUGGUGGCGAGUGGCGAACGGGUGAGUAAUGCAUCGGAACGUAUCCUGGAGUGGGGGAUAACGUAGCGAAAGUUACGCUAAUACCGCAUAUUCUGUGAGCAGGAAAGCGGGGGACCCUCGGGCCUCGCGCUCUUGGAGCGGCCGAUGUCGGAUUAGCUAGUUGGUGAGGUAAAGGCUCACCAAGGCGACGAUCCGUAGCAGGUCUGAGAGGAUGAUCUGCCACACUGGAACUGAGACACGGUCCAGACUCCUACGGGAGGCAGCAGUGGGGAAUUUUGGACAAUGGGGGCAACCCUGAUCCAGCCAUGCCGCGUGAGUGAAGAAGGCCUU